This is a long non-coding RNA of Lynx canadensis (Canada lynx), 508 nucleotides long. RefSeq lists it as uncharacterized. The transcript is spliced from 2 exons. The record is from RefSeq and is a predicted model, not a curated record. NCBI's taxonomy places the organism in Eukaryota, Metazoa, Chordata, Mammalia, Carnivora, Felidae.
GAGUCCAUGCUGCCUGUCUGCUUCUGCUCGAGGACGCAGGGACAGCAGAGGAGGCCAGGCCCAGAGUAGGCAAGAGGGGCCGCCCCAUGUGCACAGCAGGGAAACAGGACAGUGGCGGGAGCCGGGGAGACAGAGGUGGCCCCGAGAGACCAGGUUGGCGAGGACGCACGGCCCCGGGGCCAGGACUUGGGACCCCCCCCCCCUUCCUCAUCCUGAGGAACCCUACCUAGGCUGUGGGUCAAGGUGACGCACCCCUGCACCCCCUCUGCCGGCCAGGGCCCUGCCAGCCCGCUGAGUGGUGACUGGUACUCAGCACUGUGAGGUGAACGGACAGAUGCAGAGACGGUGGGGGCAGGAUGGGACGACGACAGCAUGGAGGGAAGACGCCAGGGGCAGAGGAAACCGCUCACCUUGUCGAAGUGGUUGAAGGACGCCCGGAACUCCUGCAUCUGCUCCUGGCUGAUGCCCUUGGCAUCGCGGGUGAGGAUCUGGUUCUCCACCUCGUUGA